CGGACGGGUGAGUAAUGUCUGGGAAACUGCCCGAUGGGAGGGGAUAACUACUGGAAACGGUAGCUAAUACCGCAUAACGUCGCAAGACCAAAGAGGGGGACCUUAGGGCCUCUUGCCAUCGGAUGUGCCCAGAUGGGAUUAGCUAGUAGGUGGGGUAAUGGCUCACCUAGGCGACGAUCCCUAGCUGGUCUGAGAGGAUGACCAGCCACACUGGAACUGAGACACGGUCCAG
Molecule: ribosomal RNA, 232 nt
Filed under: uncultured bacterium
Lineage: Bacteria
Description: partial 16S ribosomal RNA
Rfam family: Bacterial small subunit ribosomal RNA
Source: RNAcentral